Molecule: transfer RNA, 83 nt
Filed under: Clostridiaceae bacterium
Lineage: Bacteria; Bacillati; Bacillota; Clostridia; Eubacteriales; Clostridiaceae
Description: tRNA-Leu
Rfam family: tRNA
About the family: Transfer RNA (tRNA) molecules are approximately 80 nucleotides in length. Their secondary structure includes four short double-helical elements and three loops (D, anti-codon, and T loops).
Source: RNAcentral
GCAACCAUGGCGGAACUGGCAGACGCGCACGUUUGAGGGGCGUGUGGGAGACCGUGAGGGUUCGAGUCCCUUUGGUUGCACCA